RNAcentral lists this ribosomal RNA (253 nucleotides) under uncultured bacterium. RNAcentral describes it as "partial 16S ribosomal RNA". It matches the Rfam family "Bacterial small subunit ribosomal RNA", at positions 524 to 776 of the family's 1533-position model. The record is from RNAcentral.
UACGUAGGCAGCAAGCGUUGUUCGGAAUUACUGGGCGUAAAGAGUGUGUAGGCGGUGCUCUAAGUUCGGUGUGAAUCUCCCGGCUCAACUGGGAGGGUGCGCCGGAAACUGGAAUGCUUGAGCGUGGGAGAGGAAAGCGGAAUUCCUGGUGUAGCGGUGAAAUGCGUAGAUAUCAGGAGGAACACCUGCGGUGUUAGACGGCUUUCUGGACCAUUGCUGACGCUGAGACACGAAAGCGUGGGUAGCAAACAGG